Non-coding RNA from Cyprinus carpio (common carp), 681 nucleotides. Lineage: Eukaryota; Metazoa; Chordata; Actinopteri; Cypriniformes; Cyprinidae. The record is from the annotation of a RefSeq genome assembly.
CUUCAUGACUGAGAGCAGAACAGAACACAAUCUUCAUCAUCACACAAGACACAACAACAACAAUGAACAGCAUCAUCAUCCUCAUCUGGACAUUGCUCUGCUGUAUUAAGGGUUCCAGUGGACAGAUCACAGUUACUCAAACUCCUGCAGUUCAAACAACUGAACUAGGAAAGACUGUAGUGAUGAGAUGCACCGCCAGCACUCCUUUAACAGACUGCAGUCCACCAUGUCUGUCCUGGUACUUACAGAAACCUGGAGAAGCUCCUAAACUCAUCAUAUAUCAGACAUCAAGCCGUUACACUGGAACUCCAUCUAGAUUCAGUGGCAGUGGAUCUGGCAGUGAUUUCUCUCUGACCAUCAGUGGAGUCCAGACUGAAGAUACAGGAGAUUAUUACUGUGAGAGUUUCCACUAUCUAAACAGUAAAUAUGUGUUCACACAGUGAUAAAGAGUCGUACAAAAACCUCCGUCAGUCAGAGUCACAGUGACUGCACUGAUACAGCUGAGAGACACUGCAGCUGCUCUACAACACAAUCAAACACAACACUAAUAACACAAUAUCAUUAGAACAGAAAUAUUAUAUUCCUGAAGAAAACAAGUCAGUGUUUUAAUAUGAUCAUCAUGUUUUAGGUGUAAUAUAUGAUUGCUGUCAAUCAAACUGAACAGAAUGCAGUCAGUCACUU